RNAcentral lists this small RNA (516 nucleotides) under Arabidopsis thaliana (thale cress). RNAcentral's name for it is "ATSL054180". Lineage: Eukaryota; Viridiplantae; Streptophyta; Magnoliopsida; Brassicales; Brassicaceae. The record is from RNAcentral.
AUAUUAAUGUAUAUAUAAUCAGAUAAACAUUGUGUGGUACAAGUACUCGUACCACUUAACGCUUGUUUGUUUGGUGGAAGUAGGGCGACUCAAAAUAAUAAAGGACCCAGAGCUGAAAAAAAAAAUAGUUCUCAUUUCCUGUGUUUUGUUAUGCAAAUUCUUUUUUGGAUCGUAAUUGUACUAGAUUUACUUUAAAAAAAAAGAGAAAUUUUGGGUGGACCUGUACAUCAGCUCCUCCAGCACAUGUGUAGAGCCGGGCCUGGGUGGAAGGUAAGAACAAAAGAAAGAAAGAAAAAGAAUGCACGUAUUUAAGACCAUUUUGUUACACCAAGCAACAGCCACCACCAUCUAAGAUGGUACGGUAACAUACGUUUGAACCGUUAAAUCAACGGCUGCAACCGCAGCUACAAUUAUCGCAAUUAUUCAUGUAUGUUUAUACGGAAUUAAUGUUCAAACAAAAAGGAUUUUCAAUUAACAAACACAAUCAAAUCUCUCUUUCUUUUCCUUCUCUAUUAG